CGGACGGGUGAAUAAUGUCUGGGAAACUGCCCGAUGGAGGGGGAUAACUACUGGAAACGGUAGCUAAUACCGCAUAACGUCGCAAGACCAAAGAGGGGGACCCUCGGGCCUCUUGCCAUCGGAUGUGCCCAGAUGGGAUUAGCUAGUAGGUGGGGUAACGGCUCACCUAGGCGACGAUCCCUAGCUGGUCUGAGAGGAUGACCAGCCACACUGGAACUGAGACACGGUCCAG
Molecule: ribosomal RNA, 232 nt
Filed under: uncultured bacterium
Lineage: Bacteria
Description: partial 16S ribosomal RNA
Rfam family: Bacterial small subunit ribosomal RNA
Source: RNAcentral